Molecule: non-coding RNA, 75 nt
Organism: Podarcis lilfordi (Lilford's wall lizard)
Lineage: Eukaryota; Metazoa; Chordata; Lepidosauria; Squamata; Lacertidae
Source: the annotation of a GenBank genome assembly
UUCCUUACAGCUCAGCUGGUUAGAGCGUGGCGCUGAUAAUGCCAAGGUUGCAGGUACGAUCGCUAUCUAAGGCAA